ACAAAAACGACUCUCGGCAACGGAUAUCUCGGCUCACGCAUCGAUGAAGAACGUAGCAAAAUGCGAUACUUGGUGUGAAUUGCAGAAUCCCGUGAACCAUCGAGUUUUUGAACGCAAGUUGCGCCCAAAGCCAUCCGGUUGAGGGCACGCCUGCCUGGGCGU
Molecule: ribosomal RNA, 162 nt
Filed under: Tragopogon x mirabilis
Lineage: Eukaryota; Viridiplantae; Streptophyta; Magnoliopsida; Asterales; Asteraceae
Description: 5.8S ribosomal RNA
Rfam family: 5.8S ribosomal RNA
About the family: 5.8S ribosomal RNA (5.8S rRNA) is a component of the large subunit of the eukaryotic ribosome. It is transcribed by RNA polymerase I as part of the 45S precursor that also contains 18S and 28S rRNA.
Source: RNAcentral